UUUAUAACUUUUACAUGCAUCGUAUAUCGUCGAGAAUAAGGCUUGACAGUUUCUACCGGACUGCCGUAAAUGGUCCGACUACGAAUGAAUGGAAAGACGUA
RNAcentral lists this non-coding RNA (101 nucleotides) under Domibacillus enclensis. RNAcentral's name for it is "Guanine sequence". It matches the Rfam family "Purine riboswitch aptamer". Rfam says of the family: Riboswitches are metabolite binding domains within certain messenger RNAs that serve as precision sensors for their corresponding targets. Allosteric rearrangement of mRNA structure is mediated by ligand binding, and this results in modulation of gene expression. A class of riboswitches that selectively recognises guanine and becomes saturated at concentrations as low as 5 nM. The record is from RNAcentral. Lineage: Bacteria; Bacillati; Bacillota; Bacilli; Caryophanales; Bacillaceae.